AGCGAACGCUGGCGGCAGGCUUAACACAUGCAAGUCGAGCGGGCGUAGCAAUGCGUCAGCGGCAGACGGGUGAGUAACGCGUGGGAACGUACCUUUUGGUUCGGAACAACACAGGGAAACUUGUGCUAAUACCGGAUAAGCCCUUACGGGGAAAGAUUUAUCGCCGAAAGAUCGGCCCGCGUCUGAUUAGCUAGUUGGUAGGGUAAUGGCCUACCAAGGCGACGAUCAGUAGCUGGUCUGAGAGGAUGAUCAGCCACAUUGGGACUGAGACACGGCCCAAACUCCUACGGGAGGCAGCAGUGGGGAAUAUUGGACAAUGGGGGCAACCCUGAUCCAGCCAUGCCGCGUGAGUGAUGAAGGCCCUAGGGUUGUCAAGCUCUUUUGUGCGGGAAGAUAAUGACGGUACCGCAAGAAUAAGCCCCGGCUAACUUCGUGC
RNAcentral lists this ribosomal RNA (436 nucleotides) under soil DNB bacterium G14119. RNAcentral's name for it is "bacterial SSU rRNA". It matches the Rfam family "Bacterial small subunit ribosomal RNA", at positions 29 to 508 of the family's 1533-position model. Lineage: Bacteria; Pseudomonadati; Pseudomonadota; Alphaproteobacteria; Hyphomicrobiales; Nitrobacteraceae. RNAcentral also lists the same sequence under 1 other name. The record is from RNAcentral.